AGGACUUGUCAGGCGUCAGCUGACCAUCGUACAUCAUUGUCAACGAUUCGUAUAAGGAACUGUUGUGAGUAGCUCACCGUGUCCCACUUAGCCAUCAUGCGUUCCUUCUCGAAGCGUGCGAACUCUCUCCUGUCGUGUAUGGUGGUGACCAUCUUCCACAGCAUCAGCAGCGCCAGCCCCACCAGCACGAUGGC
Long non-coding RNA from Danaus plexippus (monarch butterfly), 194 nucleotides. RefSeq lists it as uncharacterized. The record is from RefSeq and is a predicted model, not a curated record. The transcript has 2 exons. Lineage: Eukaryota; Metazoa; Arthropoda; Insecta; Lepidoptera; Nymphalidae.